This 253-nucleotide ribosomal RNA is filed under the name uncultured bacterium. RNAcentral's name for it is "partial 16S ribosomal RNA". It matches the Rfam family "Bacterial small subunit ribosomal RNA", at positions 524 to 776 of the family's 1533-position model. The record is from RNAcentral.
UACGGAGGGUGCAAACGUUGCUCGGAAUUAUUGGGCGUAAAGCGCGCGUAGGCGGCCGCUUAAGUCGGAUGUGAAAGCCCCUGGCUCAACUGGGGAAGUGCACCCGAAACUGAGUGGCUUGAGUACUAAAGAGGGUCGCGGAAUUCCCGGUGUAGAGGUGAAAUUCGUAGAUAUCGGGAGGAACACCGGUGGCGAAGGCGGCGACCUGGGUAGAUACUGACGCUGAGGCGCGAAAGCGUGGGGAGCAAACAGG